UGGGGAAUAUUGCGCAAUGGGGGAAACCCUGACGCAGCUAUGCCGCGUGGGUGAUGAAGGCCUUCGGGUCGUAAAGCCCUGUCGGAGGGAACGAAGGCGCAAGCUUGACGGUACCCUCCAAGGAAGCACCGGCUAACCUCGUGCCAGCAGCCGCGGUAAUACGAGGGGUGCAAGCGUUGCUCGGAUUUACUGGGCGUAAAGCGACCGCAGGCGGUUUGACAGGUCCGACGUGAAAGCCCGGGGCUCAACC
RNAcentral lists this ribosomal RNA (250 nucleotides) under uncultured bacterium. RNAcentral describes it as "partial 16S ribosomal RNA". It matches the Rfam family "Bacterial small subunit ribosomal RNA", at positions 355 to 614 of the family's 1533-position model. The record is from RNAcentral.